RNAcentral lists this ribosomal RNA (622 nucleotides) under Yersinia ruckeri. Its description in RNAcentral is "bacterial SSU rRNA". It matches the Rfam family "Bacterial small subunit ribosomal RNA", at positions 833 to 1454 of the family's 1533-position model. Lineage: Bacteria; Pseudomonadati; Pseudomonadota; Gammaproteobacteria; Enterobacterales; Yersiniaceae. The record is from RNAcentral.
UGAGGCGUGGCUUCCGGAGCUAACGCGUUAAGUCGACCGCUGGGGAGUACGGCCGCAAGGUUAAAACUCAAAUGAAUUGACGGGGGCCCGCACAAGCGGUGGAGCAUGUGGUUUAAUUCGAUGCAACGCGAAGAACCUUACCUACUCUUGACAUCCACAGAACUUGGCAGAGAUGCCUUGGUGCCUUCGGGAACUGUGAGACAGGUGCUGCAUGGCUGUCGUCAGCUCGUGUUGUGAAAUGUUGGGUUAAGUCCCGCAACGAGCGCAACCCUUAUCCUUUGUUGCCAGCACGUAAUGGUGGGAACUCAAGGGAGACUGCCGGUGACAAACCGGAGGAAGGUGGGGAUGACGUCAAGUCAUCAUGGCCCUUACGAGUAGGGCUACACACGUGCUACAAUGGCAGAUACAAAGUGAAGCGAACUCGCGAGAGCAAGCGGACCACAUAAAGUCUGUCGUAGUCCGGAUUGGAGUCUGCAACUCGACUCCAUGAAGUCGGAAUCGCUAGUAAUCGUAGAUCAGAAUGCUACGGUGAAUACGUUCCCGGGCCUUGUACACACCGCCCGUCACACCAUGGGAGUGGGUUGUCAAAAGAAGUAGGUAGCUUAACCUUCGGGAGGGCGCU